This 492-nucleotide ribosomal RNA is filed under the name uncultured bacterium. RNAcentral's name for it is "partial 16S ribosomal RNA". It matches the Rfam family "Bacterial small subunit ribosomal RNA", at positions 30 to 507 of the family's 1533-position model. The record is from RNAcentral.
AUUGAACGCUGGCGGUAGGCCUAACACAUGCAAGUCGAACGGCAGCACAGUAAGAGCUUGCUCUUACGGGUGGCGAGUGGCGGACGGGGGAGGAAUACAUCGGAAUCUACUGUUGCUUGGGGGAUAACGUAGGGAAACUUACGCUAAUACCGCAUACGACCUACGGGUGAAAUCAUGGGAUCUUCGGACCUUGCGCGAUUGAAUGAGCCGAUGUCGGAUUAGCUAGUUGGCGGGGUAAAGGCCCACCAAGGCGACGAUCCGUAGCUGGUCUGAGAGGAUGAUCAGCCACACUGGAACUGAGACACGGUCCAGACUCCUACGGGAGGCAGCAGUGGGGAAUAUUGGACAAUGGGCGAAAGCCUGAUCCAGCCAUACCGCGUGGGUGAAGAAGGUCUUCGGGUUGUAAAGCCCUUUUGUUGGGAAAGAAAAGCAGCAGGUUAAUACCCCGCUGUUCUGACGGUACCAAAAGAAUAAGCACCGGCUAACUUCGUG